This 755-nucleotide ribosomal RNA is filed under the name uncultured bacterium. RNAcentral's name for it is "bacterial SSU rRNA". It matches the Rfam family "Bacterial small subunit ribosomal RNA", at positions 59 to 827 of the family's 1533-position model. The record is from RNAcentral.
CAGUCGAACGAGCGAGAGAGAGCUUGCUUUCUCGAGCGAGUGGCGAACGGGUGAGUAACGCGUGAGGAACCUGCCUCAAAGAGGGGGACAACAGUUGGAAACGACUGCUAAUACCGCAUAAGCCCACGGCUCGGCAUCGAGCAGGGGGAAAAGGAGUAAUCCGCUUUGAGAUGGCCUCGCGUCCGAUUAGCUAGUUGGUGAGGUAACGGCCCACCAAGGCGACGAUCGGUAGCCGGACUGAGAGGUUGAACGGCCACAUUGGGACUGAGACACGGCCCAGACUCCUACGGGAGGCAGCAGUGGGGAAUAUUGCACAAUGGGGGAAACCCUGAUGCAGCGACGCCGCGUGGAGGAAGAAGGUCUUCGGAUUGUAAACUCCUGUUGUUGGGGAAGAUAAUGACGGUACCCAACAAGGAAGUGACGGCUAACUACGUGCCAGCAGCCGCGGUAAAACGUAGGUCACAAGCGUUGUCCGGAAUUACUGGGUGUAAAGGGAGCGCAGGCGGGAAGACAAGUUGGAAGUGAAAUCUAUGGGCUCAACCCAUAAACUGCUUUUAAAACUGUUUUUCUUGAGUAGUGCAGAGGUAGGCGGAAUUCCCGGUGUAGCGGUGGAAUGCGUAGAUAUCGGGAGGAACACCAGUGGCGAAGGCGGCCUACUGGGCACCAACUGACGCUGAGGCUCGAAAGUGUGGGUAGCAAACAGGAUUAGAUACCCUGGUAGUCCACACCGUAAACGAUGAUUACUAGGUGUUGGA